This 497-nucleotide ribosomal RNA is filed under the name uncultured bacterium. RNAcentral describes it as "partial 16S ribosomal RNA". It matches the Rfam family "Bacterial small subunit ribosomal RNA", at positions 28 to 507 of the family's 1533-position model. The record is from RNAcentral.
GAUGAACGCUGGCGGCGUGCCUAAUACAUGCAAGUCGAACGAAAAGACGAGGAGCUUGCUCCGCGGACGUGAGCGGCGGGCGGGUGAGUAACACGUGGAUAACCUACCUGUAAGACUGGGAUAACUUCGGGAAACGGGAGCUAAUACCGUAUAAUAUAUUGCACCGCGGGGUUCAUUAGAAAAAGUCGGUUUUGCGGGCACUUAUAGAUGCAUCCGGGCCGCAUUAGAUAGUUGGUAAGGUAACGGGUUACCAAGGCAACGAUGCGUGGCCGAAGUGAGGGGGUGAUCGGCGACCUUGGAACGUGGACACGGACCAUAGUACUAAGGUACGCAGCAGUAUGGUAUGUGACGCAAUGGGCGAGAGUAUUGCGGAGUGACGCGAAGUGAGUGAUGAAGGUGUUGGGUGCGUAAAACCCGGUUACGAGGGAAGAACAACUUUCGAAUUAAAUAUGGACGGCUUGACGGUACUGAAUAAAAAAGCACCGGCUAACUACGUG